This 440-nucleotide ribosomal RNA is filed under the name uncultured bacterium. RNAcentral's name for it is "partial 16S ribosomal RNA". It matches the Rfam family "Bacterial small subunit ribosomal RNA", at positions 338 to 795 of the family's 1533-position model. The record is from RNAcentral.
CCUACGGGAGGCAGCAGUGGGGGAUAUUGCACAAUGGGGGGAACCCUGAUGCAGCGACGCCGCGUGGGUGAAGGAGCGUUUCGGCGCGUAAAGCCCUAUCGGCAGGGAAGAAGAUGACGGUACCUGACCAAGAAGCCCCGUCUAACUACGUGCCAGCAGCCGCGGUAAUACGUAGGGGGCAAGCGUUAUCCGGAUUUACUGGGUGUAAAGGGAGCGUAGACGGAAGUGCAAGUCUGGAGUGAAAGGCGGGGGCUCAACCCCCGGACUGCUCUGGAAACUGUACGGCUGGAGGGCAGGAGAGGGAAGUGGAAUUACUAGGGUAGCGGUGAAAUGCGUAGAUAUUAGGAGGAACACCAGUGGCGAAGGCGGCUUACGGGACUGUAACUGACGUUGAGGCUCGAAAGCGUGGGGAGCAAACAGGAUUAGAUACCCGAGUAGUC